RNAcentral lists this ribosomal RNA (1828 nucleotides) under Escherichia coli. RNAcentral's name for it is "partial 23S ribosomal RNA". It matches the Rfam family "Bacterial large subunit ribosomal RNA", at positions 984 to 2798 of the family's 2925-position model. Lineage: Bacteria; Pseudomonadati; Pseudomonadota; Gammaproteobacteria; Enterobacterales; Enterobacteriaceae. The record is from RNAcentral.
ACACGGCGGGUGCUAACGUCCGUCGUGAAGAGGGAAACAACCCAGACCGCCAGCUAAGGUCCCAAAGUCAUGGUUAAGUGGGAAACGAUGUGGGAAGGCCCAGACAGCCAGGAUGUUGGCUUAGAAGCAGCCAUCAUUUAAAGAAAGCGUAAUAGCUCACUGGUCGAGUCGGCCUGCGCGGAAGAUGUAACGGGGCUAAACCAUGCACCGAAGCUGCGGCAGCGACGCUUAUGCGUUGUUGGGUAGGGGAGCGUUCUGUAAGCCUGUGAAGGUGUGCUGUGAGGCAUGCUGGAGGUAUCAGAAGUGCGAAUGCUGACAUAAGUAACGAUAAAGCGGGUGAAAAGCCCGCUCGCCGGAAGACCAAGGGUUCCUGUCCAACGUUAAUCGGGGCAGGGUGAGUCGACCCCUAAGGCGAGGCCGAAAGGCGUAGUCGAUGGGAAACAGGUUAAUAUUCCUGUACUUGGUGUUACUGCGAAGGGGGGACGGAGAAGGCUAUGUUGGCCGGGCGACGGUUGUCCCGGUUUAAGCGUGUAGGCUGGUUUUCCAGGCAAAUCCGGAAAAUCAAGGCUGAGGCGUGAUGACGAGGCACUACGGUGCUGAAGCAACAAAUGCCCUGCUUCCAGGAAAAGCCUCUAAGCAUCAGGUAACAUCAAAUCGUACCCCAAACCGACACAGGUGGUCAGGUAGAGAAUACCAAGGCGCUUGAGAGAACUCGGGUGAAGGAACUAGGCAAAAUGGUGCCGUAACUUCGGGAGAAGGCACGCUGAUAUGUAGGUGAAGUCCCUCGCGGAUGGAGCUGAAAUCAGUCGAAGAUACCAGCUGGCUGCAACUGUUUAUUAAAAACACAGCACUGUGCAAACACGAAAGUGGACGUAUACGGUGUGACGCCUGCCCGGUGCCGGAAGGUUAAUUGAUGGGGUCAGCGCAAGCGAAGCUCUUGAUCGAAGCCCCGGUAAACGGCGGCCGUAACUAUAACGGUCCUAAGGUAGCGAAAUUCCUUGUCGGGUAAGUUCCGACCUGCACGAAUGGCGUAAUGAUGGCCAGGCUGUCUCCACCCGAGACUCAGUGAAAUUGAACUCGCUGUGAAGAUGCAGUGUACCCGCGGCAAGACGGAAAGACCCCGUGAACCUUUACUAUAGCUUGACACUGAACAUUGAGCCUUGAUGUGUAGGAUAGGUGGGAGGCUUAGAAGUGUGGACGCCAGUCUGCAUGGAGCCGACCUUGAAAUACCACCCUUUAAUGUUUGAUGUUCUAACGUUGACCCGUAAUCCGGGUUGCGGACAGUGUCUGGUGGGUAGUUUGACUGGGGCGGUCUCCUCCUAAAGAGUAACGGAGGAGCACGAAGGUUGGCUAAUCCUGGUCGGACAUCAGGAGGUUAGUGCAAUGGCAUAAGCCAGCUUGACUGCGAGCGUGACGGCGCGAGCAGGUGCGAAAGCAGGUCAUAGUGAUCCGGUGGUUCUGAAUGGAAGGGCCAUCGCUCAACGGAUAAAAGGUACUCCGGGGAUAACAGGCUGAUACCGCCCAAGAGUUCAUAUCGACGGCGGUGUUUGGCACCUCGAUGUCGGCUCAUCACAUCCUGGGGCUGAAGUAGGUCCCAAGGGUAUGGCUGUUCGCCAUUUAAAGUGGUACGCGAGCUGGGUUUAGAACGUCGUGAGACAGUUCGGUCCCUAUCUGCCGUGGGCGCUGGAGAACUGAGGGGGGCUGCUCCUAGUACGAGAGGACCGGAGUGGACGCAUCACUGGUGUUCGGGUUGUCAUGCCAAUGGCACUGCCCGGUAGCUAAAUGCGGAAGAGAUAAGUGCUGAAAGCAUCUAAGCACGAAACUUGCC